CGCGGGGUAGAGCAAUCCGGUUAGCUCGUCGGGCUCAUAACCCGGAGGUUGCAGGUUCAAAUCCUGUCCCCGCUA
This 75-nucleotide transfer RNA is filed under the name Lachnospiraceae bacterium. RNAcentral describes it as "tRNA-Met". It matches the Rfam family "tRNA". From Rfam's summary of the family: Transfer RNA (tRNA) molecules are approximately 80 nucleotides in length. Their secondary structure includes four short double-helical elements and three loops (D, anti-codon, and T loops). Lineage: Bacteria; Bacillati; Bacillota; Clostridia; Lachnospirales; Lachnospiraceae. The record is from RNAcentral.